GGGGCUAUAGCUCAGCUGGUAGAGCACUGUCUUCGCAUGACAGGGGUCGUGGGUUCGAAUCCCACUAGCUCCACCA
RNAcentral lists this transfer RNA (76 nucleotides) under bacterium. RNAcentral's name for it is "tRNA-Ala". It matches the Rfam family "tRNA". From Rfam's summary of the family: Transfer RNA (tRNA) molecules are approximately 80 nucleotides in length. Their secondary structure includes four short double-helical elements and three loops (D, anti-codon, and T loops). The record is from RNAcentral.